RNAcentral lists this ribosomal RNA (325 nucleotides) under uncultured Acidobacteriota bacterium. RNAcentral's name for it is "bacterial SSU rRNA". It matches the Rfam family "Bacterial small subunit ribosomal RNA", at positions 15 to 354 of the family's 1533-position model. Lineage: Bacteria; Pseudomonadati; Acidobacteriota. The record is from RNAcentral.
GAUCCUGGCUCAGAAUCAACGCUGGCGGCGUGCCUAACACAUGCAAGUCGAACGAGAAAGUGGAGCAAUCCAUGAGUAAAGUGGCGCACGGGUGAGUAACACGUGACUAACCUACCCUGGAGUGGGGGAUAACUGAGGGAAACCUUAGCUAAUACCGCAUAACACCUACGGGUCAAAGGAGCAAUUCGCUUUGGGAGGGGGUCGCGGCCGAUUAGUUAGUUGGCGGGGUAACGGCCCACCAAGACGAUGAUCGGUAUCCGGCCUGAGAGGGCGCACGGACACACUGGAACUGAAACACGGUCCAGACUCCUACGGGAGGCAGCAG